AGAUAAAAAUUUAUGAUUUAAAAAAUUUAUUUUAAGUUUAAUUUACAUGUAAAUUUUUGUAUUAAUUUUAUUGUAUUUUAAAAAUAUAAUAAUUAAAUAAAUAGUAAUUAAAAUUAAAAAUUUAAGAAAUUAAGAUUUAGUAAUUCUAUAAAAAAUAACAAAUUUUGUGCCAGCAGUUGCGGUUAUACAAAAAUUUAAAUAAAUUUUAUUGACAAUAAUAAAUAAUUAAAAUUAAGUUAAAAUUAAAAUUAUUAAGUAAAAUUUUAAUUUUAAAAAAAAUUAUAAAAUAAUUAUGAAUUAAAAAAAUUUUAUUAUAAACUAGGAUUAGAUACCCUAUUAUAGAAAAAUUAAUUUAAAUAUGUUAAAAUAGUAAAUAAUUUUAUAUUGAAACUUAAAUAAUUUGGCGGUAUUUUAGUUCAUUUAGAGGAAUCUGUCUAGUAAUUGAUAAUCCACGAAUAAUUAUAUUUAAUUUAAAAUUUUAUAUAUCGUUGUUAAAAAAAUAUUUUUUAAAGAUAAUAAUAUUUAAAAAUUUAUAAUAAAAAUUAAUUCAGAUCAAGAUGUAGAUAAUAAUUAAAAUUAAGAUGGAUUACAAUAUAAAAAUAUAAAUGGAAUUUAAUUUUGGAAUAAUUGAAAGAAAGUGGAUUUAAAUGUAAUUUUAAAUAAUUUUUUAAAAUGAUUAAAAAUUGAAAUAUGUACAUAUUGCCCGUCACUUUCAUUUUAAAAUUGGAAUAAGUCGUAACAAAGUAGAGGUACUGGAAAGUGUUUCUAGAAAGA
RNAcentral lists this non-coding RNA (774 nucleotides) under Delias hyparete (painted jezebel). Lineage: Eukaryota; Metazoa; Arthropoda; Insecta; Lepidoptera; Pieridae. The record is from RNAcentral.